AGAUCUCAAAUCAGGUAGGACUACCCGCUGAACUUAAGCAUAUCAAUAAGC
This 51-nucleotide ribosomal RNA is filed under the name Rhodotorula mucilaginosa. RNAcentral describes it as "partial 28S ribosomal RNA". The record is from RNAcentral. Lineage: Eukaryota; Fungi; Basidiomycota; Microbotryomycetes; Sporidiobolales; Sporidiobolaceae.